RNAcentral lists this long non-coding RNA (596 nucleotides) under Gallus gallus (chicken). Its description in RNAcentral is "long non-coding RNA NONGGAT001269". Lineage: Eukaryota; Metazoa; Chordata; Aves; Galliformes; Phasianidae. The record is from RNAcentral.
CGGGGCGAGGGGGUGGCUGGAGCCGCUGUGGGAGAGGGCGGUGGGGGAGCGCGCGCCCGAGCGCCGCUGCCGUGCAUGCGCAGUGGCGGUGGGGCAGAGAUUAACACUGGUGUCCCUUUGAUCCGCGCUCGGACACUCCGAAUUUACUUCCUAUAAAUCACAUCAUUGUGGAGUCUUUCCAGCCAAUGAAUGUCGAAGAUUGAGCUCUCCGUCCUUUGGAGGUUUCUGUUUGUUUUUCCCCACAAUUGUGCCUGUGCUGUUCCUGCUCUCCCAGCCUUGGAGCACUGACUCCAGAGCCGUUUCUUAGCAUAAUCUGUUCAGGAGAUUGCUCUGCUUCCUCUCUGGCUGAUGUUUUCCCCCGAUCCAGCUGAUGCGCUCCCACAGCCGCUGCUCUAGAAGGUCUGUAUGCGUCCUUAUGCCUGUGAAUAGAUAUUUUGGCUUCCCUGCUGGCACCUGUGACCUGUCCAUCCAUCCUGAGGCACUGGGGCAAUGUCAAGGAUAUUGUCUUUUAUGCUGGGUCGCUGCUAGGAGCCACUGAAGAAUCUCCAGCAGAAGGCCUAUGAGAUCUGUGAAAGAACUCUGGUGUUUGGAGCAGG